UAGCAAAUGAUUGAUAUGAUAUAGGCCGUCAAUGCGUAAGUGAUAUGCACAUUAUUAUUUAACGAAUGUUUGAACUGCUUAUUGUGUCUAAUUAACGGUUAUCAAUCGCGAUGUCAACAUAUCAAACUUAUGACUUGUGUGUUAGUUGAAUAUUGUCAUAUUGUGUAUUUUUAGGUUGAAACAUCAUUUACAAUAAAAAGUUACAGCCUUUGACGAAUUAUCUUCAUACAUUUCAACGCAAGGCAAGAUGUCUGUUGAUGCCGAUCACAAAAGAGUAACAAAGAAGAAAAGAAGUACGGCCAAAGGGAGAUUUCAUAGAAUAUAUGGUCGCUUACUAGAAGGAAUACAGGAUGAGUCUAGGGGCAAUUGUGGUGGAAAAAAAUACUUCAAGAUUUGGAAACAGCUUACACAGAACUAGAAGCAAGACAUGAGGUAUUUUUAGAAACAUUUGAUUCUGAAAAUGAAGAAGACAAACC
RNAcentral lists this long non-coding RNA (476 nucleotides) under Mytilus galloprovincialis (Mediterranean mussel). The record is from RNAcentral. Lineage: Eukaryota; Metazoa; Mollusca; Bivalvia; Mytilida; Mytilidae.